GUUUGUGUAACUUCUUUAUUGCAUAUUAAAUUUUUCUUUGCAUAGUAGAUUCUGCUAUUUUGUUCUUUACUUACACUUCCUAUUCUUUUGUUAUUUUCUUAGACUACUACUUCAAGAUAGAUAUUGCUUACCUGAAUUCUGCAGUUUGGAAGUUUUUUGACCAAAACAAGCCUUUAUUAUGGGCAGGAUCUGCUGGACUGUCUCCAAACAAAGGAGAGAAAAGCAACAUGGCACAACAGGGAGCUUCUUUUAUAGGAGCAGGGUGGGGUUAGCCUGAGCUGGGGUUGAGUGAGGUAGUAUGAAGGAAUUGGAGGAGCCUAUGACAUUACUUGGAGGGGCUUGUGACAUCAUUAGUUGCUAGGAGGUAGCAUAUAUCAGGUUACCUUUCUUGGCGGGAAGAGGUGCAUGUUGGGCAGAAGACUGUCCUUUGGUGGGAGGAGAUGGGAAGGAGGCUGCUAUUCCAUGUGGCAGCCUUCUUAAGGCACAGAGCAUUAUGGGAAGGAGGAGGCUGUUAUUUUAUGUAGCAGCAAUCUUAAGGCAAGGGGAAUCUAACAUUCCAGGUUUUUGUUUUAUGGUUGUUGGGUGAAGGUCUCUUCUGAAGCUGCUUCAAGCUGACAAAGGGGCGGAGGUUGGGGUUAAACCUGGAUCUGAUGGGGGCAGCGGUAGGUAGGGUCUUCUUCCUUCUGCUGAGUGGCCGGUACCCUGCCCUGAUGCAGAAGGAAGACAACAACCCACUGAAAGGUAAAUUAAUUUUUUGUACAAAUAAGCAAACUUCAAUACCAAAGCUAGAUUAAACUCACACACCCAUUUUAUAAUGAUUUUAGCAAUUAAAUCCAAACAGAAACAUAUACAAGACAAGAAUAAAAUGGCAUUUUAUCAAGAGGGGCCUCACAGGCAGAAUGACCUUUUAUAAAGUGGUCUGCCAGAUCAAAAGUAGUCACUUUGGAGUCUGGGCUGAGGUGGUGGGGGGGUGGAACAGGAGGGGAGGAGGACGGAGUUAGGGCUAGAAGUACCUGAGAGGGUGAACAGGUUUGACAGAAGGAGGGGUGAGAGCCAAGGUAGAAGGCUUAUAGGUAGGGAUUUCUGACUAUUUGCCAUUGCGUUGACAAAAAUUGUAUAAAUCAUGCAGUAUGUUAAAAUUGAGUGUCAUUUUCUGACCAUUGAGAUUUAUUGUCUAGUUUGUACUGAGGCCAAACUUGGUUGUAAAAAAAAAGAAAAGUGAGUCAUUUUGGCUUAAAAUCAGGUCCCAAUAGUCCAAGGGGGCGAUGUUGUGCCAGGAGGCAGCCAAGAGGCAUUGAGGGUUGGGGUUUGGAUUGUUGGGUUCCCAUGUUAGGGUGGGUGAGGAGGAGUUAGCUCCCUAGGAGGAGGACAAAAGAGAGGAUGUCUUCGUCUUGUGAUACUCCUGGAGCCAGUCCCCAGAAGGGAAGGAGAGAAGUCAGGCUGAUGGGGCGACCCCAGGGCACGGACAUGGGCCCAGUGGCCCAAAAGGGUCUCUCCGACUGAGUACUUGGAUUUCCGAGGAGUCCCCAGAAGGAUAGACUGAGAACAAGUUAGAGGACCCAACUGAGCAGAGGGAAGCUAACUACCUACUCACCCUGAAAUCAGUGACCGGUGUGGAUGUGAGUCAUCACCAAUGGCAAAGGUAGAAAGCCCCGCGGAGGUCCUGGCUCCGCAGAUGUGGUGCGGAGGAGGCGGCCGAAAGGCCAGUCCACCUGACCCGUGAUGAUCUUCCUCCCCGGUCUCGGCCCCAGAUAUGUGAGGUAAAAAGUCCUGAAAACCAGGACCAGACCAGGACCAUAACACGCCU
RNAcentral lists this long non-coding RNA (1807 nucleotides) under Fukomys damarensis (Damara mole-rat). RNAcentral's name for it is "lncRNA (ENSFDAG00000025125.1)". Lineage: Eukaryota; Metazoa; Chordata; Mammalia; Rodentia; Bathyergidae. The record is from RNAcentral.